CGGGUCAAUUAGCUUGAGCGAGACAGCGGGUGUUUCUGGGAGUUGUGGUCCGCAGGGCUGCCUCGCUUCCGGGUGGGAGCUGCUGUUGCCGCGGUGGGAAGACGCAGAGCUUUCAGGCCAGCCCCGCGCGGCUCACGGCUUUUGUGGCUGGUGGCUGGUGGCUGCUGGUUGGGAGGCCCCGGAAGGACUUCUACUCCUCCGUAGGCUGGAGGGCACUAGGAGGUCGCAGGUGCUGAGCUGCCGGGGCCUUUGGGCUGUGCUGAAGGGGAAAAGCGCAGCCACUGUCGGGAGUGUGUGCUGUGGAGGCAGUUGCCGCGGUGAUGUUCGCUCCGCCUGGCCCCUGCCGGGGAUUCAGCCAACCAACCCUCAACAGCCGGCGGCGGCUCAGUCUCUGGCCCGGCGCGGUGCUGAGCACCACUGAGCCCUCAUCUUAGGGCACCGAGGCCCGGACUCCUGCAGCCGCAUGUCCAGGCCCCUCCUGCCUUAGCACGGAGCUCCCUUGACUGCUCCAAACAGCCCAGACUGGCGCCUUUUUUGGAUAAAUUAAAACGGGGCCAAUCCGUUGCCAGCGAUUGGCUAACGAUGGGUACACGACCUAGUACGGGCCAGGGAGAAGUAAGCGAGGUCUGUUGAGGCAGAGUUUCGGGAAAGAUCUUCUAGUUAAAAGGGGAGUUGGGUGGGUGGGGGCUGUUUUCUUCCUGUUGUCCUUGCCCAGUGUAAGUUUCCUGGAGCUGCAGCAGCCUUUUUGUCACCAUGAGGGCAGCUGGUGGGAACCCUAGGAAAGCAGGAAAUCACCUAGAGCCGGAACAGCCUGAGCCUCUGAACCAACCCACAGCUGACUACCCGUCACUUUGUCGUGUCUCUGUGAUUUGAGUCCAUCAUUCUGCUGCAGUUGAAGUUCUACAGACUGUACACGAAGCAACGGUGUCAGCAUCUGCUUCCAGUGGGGCCUCAGGAAGCUUUCAAUCAUGGCAGAAGGCCAAGGGGCAGCGGGGUCUCACGUGGCAAGAGAGGGAGGAGGAGGUGCCAGCCUCUUUAAACAAUCAGCUCUUGCAUGAACUCUUAGAGCCAGAACUCACUCACUACCUGGAAGACGGCAUGGAGACAAUAAUGAGGGAUCCACCCCCAUGACCCAAACUCCUCCCACUAGGCCCACCUCCAGCACUGGUGGUCACAGUUCAACGUGAGAUUUGGAGGGGACAAACAUCCAAACCGUAUCACCCCUCAACCCCUCAACUACACCUGGUUUGCUCCUUGUUUUCUAGAUUUUGACUGAAAUGUCCCCUUCCCGGCAAAGCCGUGUGGACCACCCGGGCUAAAGCAGCCACCUGGUGCUGGCCUGUGUGGCCCAAUUCCAGUUCUCCAGGGUGCUCAUCACUCUGUGGCAGUUUGUCUUCUGGUUUGUGAGAGAAGAAUAAAUCUGAGGGACCCAAAAUCACUAAAGGGAAAAGUCAAGCUGGGAACUGCUUAGUGCCAACCUGCCUCCCCUUCUAUUCAAAGUCACCCCUCUGCUCAAUGAAAUAAAUGCAUAUCUGAUUGCCUCCUUUGGAGAGG
This 1554-nucleotide long non-coding RNA is filed under the name Homo sapiens (human). RNAcentral's name for it is "HSALNT0360680". The record is from RNAcentral. Lineage: Eukaryota; Metazoa; Chordata; Mammalia; Primates; Hominidae.